Molecule: ribosomal RNA, 332 nt
Filed under: uncultured bacterium
Lineage: Bacteria
Description: bacterial SSU rRNA
Rfam family: Bacterial small subunit ribosomal RNA
Source: RNAcentral
UGCGCAGGCGGUUCGUUUUGUGGGUGGUGAAAUCUCCUGGCUCAACUGGGAGGGGGCCAUCCAAACGGGCGAACUUGAGGCGUGGAGAGGGACGUGGAAUUCCGGGUGGAGCGGUGAAAUGCGUAGAGAUCCGGAGGAACACCGACGGCGAAGGCAGCGUCCUGGCCACGACCUGACGCUCAGGCACGAAAGCUGGGGGAGCAAACAGGAUUAGAUACCCUGGUAGUCCCAGCUGUAAACGAUGUCCACCAGGUGCUGGAGGUAUCGACCCCUUCGGUGCCGAAGCUAACGUGAUGAGUGGACCGCCUGGGGAGUACGGCCGCAAGGUUAAA